CUUAAUGAUAGUAUAAAUAAACUCUAAGUGUUAGGGAAUCUAUCGUUUUGAUGGGAUACGCAUUGUACGAAACUAAUUUCAACGAUCCAACCGUCAAACUUGUUUGUAUAUAUUCCGAGAUCGCAUACGCCAAAAAUUGAGAAAAACAAACAUUCAGAUACCAAGUAACGGAACAAACCUUUUCGACGGUUAUAAACAAAAACGCACGAUUUAACGGUAGUUUUAACUCCGAUUUUGAUGAUUUUUUACAGCUACACUCCUUGACCCUAUAUGAAUACAAUGAACUAAUUCGAUCUUCAAUUUUAAAAUAUUUACACUAGUGGAUACCACAAAAUAUUAUGUUAUACUUGAUGAAAGUAUAAAUAAACUCUAAGUGAUAGUGAAUGUAAUGUUUUGAUGGGAAAUGUAUUGUAUGAAACUAGUUUCAACAAUCCAACCGUCAAACGUAUAUGUACAUGCUUCGAGAUUGCGUACGCCAAAAAUCGCAAAAAACAAACAUUCAGAGAUCAAGUAACGGGACAAAACUUUUAGACGGUUAUAAAUGAAAAAGCACGAUUUAACGGUAGUUUUAACUCCGAUUUUGAUGAUUUUUUAGAGCUACACUCCUUAAUCCUAUAUGAAUACAAUGAAGUAAUUUGAUCGUCAAUUUAAAACAUUUACACAAGUGGAUACCACAAAAGAAAAAGGCAUUACAAGAACCCCAAAAGAAAAGCAAAAGAAAAAAAAAACCA
This 731-nucleotide long non-coding RNA is filed under the name Malus domestica (apple). RNAcentral's name for it is "long non-coding RNA (MDOM_LNC014005)". Lineage: Eukaryota; Viridiplantae; Streptophyta; Magnoliopsida; Rosales; Rosaceae. The record is from RNAcentral.